UCUCCGUUGGUGAACCAGCGGAGGGAUCAUUACCGAGUUUACAACUCCCAAACCCAAUGUGAACCAUACCAAACUGUUGCCUCGGCGGGGUCACGCCCCGGGUGCGUCGCAGCCCCGGAACCAGGCGCCCGCCGGAGGGACCAACCAAACUCUUUCUGUAGUCCCCUCGCGGACGUUAUUUCCUACAGCUCUGAGCAAAAAUUCAAAAUGAAUCAAAACUUUCAACAACGGAUCUCUUGGUUCUG
Molecule: unclassified non-coding RNA, 245 nt
Filed under: plant metagenome
Description: partial contains small subunit ribosomal RNA, internal transcribed spacer 1, and 5.8S ribosomal RNA
Source: RNAcentral